GCCGGUGAGAUGUAACGGCUGCAUCUCUGCCUUCCAAGCAGAUUGAGCGGGUUCGAUUCCCGUCACCGGUUCCA
Molecule: transfer RNA, 74 nt
Filed under: Mycobacterium talmoniae
Lineage: Bacteria; Bacillati; Actinomycetota; Actinomycetes; Mycobacteriales; Mycobacteriaceae
Also listed under: 1 other name
Description: tRNA-Gly
Rfam family: tRNA
About the family: Transfer RNA (tRNA) molecules are approximately 80 nucleotides in length. Their secondary structure includes four short double-helical elements and three loops (D, anti-codon, and T loops). Further hydrogen bonds mediate the characteristic L-shaped molecular structure. tRNAs have two regions of fundamental functional importance: the anti-codon, which is responsible for specific mRNA codon recognition, and the 3' end, to which the tRNAs corresponding amino acid is attached (by aminoacyl-tRNA synthetases). tRNAs cope with the degeneracy of the genetic code in two manners: having more than one tRNA (with a specific anti-codon) for a particular amino acid; and 'wobble' base-pairing, i.e. permitting non-standard base-pairing at the 3rd anti-codon position.
Source: RNAcentral